UUGAACGCUGGCGGCAUGCUUUACACAUGCAAGUCGAACGGUAACAGGUCUUCGGAUGCUGACGAGUGGCGAACGGGUGAGUAAUGCAUCGGAACGUGCCCCAGUCGUGGGGGAUAACGCAGCGAAAGCUGUGCUAAUACCGCAUACGAUCUAUGGAUGAAAGCGGGGGACCUUCGGGCCUCGCGCUACUGGAGCGGCCGAUAUCAGAUUAGGUAGUUGGUGGGGUAAAGGCCUACCAAGCCGACGAUCUGUAGCUGGUCUGAGAGGACGACCAGCCACACUGGGACUGAGACACGGCCCAGACUCCUACGGGAGGCAGCAGUGGGGAAUUUUGGACAAUGGACGCAAGUCUGAUCCAGCAAUGCCGCGUGCAGGACGAAGGCCUUCGGGUUGUAAACUGCUUUUGUACAGAACGAAAAGGCUCUGGUUAAUACCUGGGGCUCAUGACGGUACUGUAAGAAUAAGCACCGGCUAACUACGUG
RNAcentral lists this ribosomal RNA (482 nucleotides) under uncultured bacterium. Its description in RNAcentral is "bacterial SSU rRNA". It matches the Rfam family "Bacterial small subunit ribosomal RNA", at positions 30 to 507 of the family's 1533-position model. The record is from RNAcentral.